Molecule: ribosomal RNA, 253 nt
Filed under: uncultured bacterium
Lineage: Bacteria
Description: partial 16S ribosomal RNA
Rfam family: Bacterial small subunit ribosomal RNA
Source: RNAcentral
UACAGAGGCCUCGAGCGUUAGGCGGAAUCACUGGGCUUAAAGCGUGUGUAGGCGGAUGUCUAAGUGCUUUGUGAAAUCCCACGGCUCAACCGUGGAAUUGCUUGGCAUACUGGAUGUCUUGAGCCAUCUAGGGGCGAGCGGAACAAGUGGUGGAGCGGUGAAAUGCGUAGAUAUCACUUGGAACGCCAACGGUGAAAACAGCUCGCUGGGGAUGUGCUGACGCUGAGACACGAAAGCCAGGGGAGCAAACGGG